GAUGAACGCUGGCGGCGUGCCUAAUACAUGCAAGUCGAGCGAACAGACGCGGAGCUUGCUCCUCUGACGUUAGCGGCGGACGGGUGAGUAACACGUGGAUAACCCCCCUAUCAGACUGGGAUAACUUCGGGACACCGGAGCUAAUACCGGAUAAUCUAUUGCACCGCAUGGUUGAAUAGUGAAAGACGGUUUUGCUGUCACUUAUAGAUGGUUCCGCGCCGCAUUAGCUAGUUGGUAAGGUAACGGCUUACCACGGCAACGAUGCGUAGCCGACCUGAGAGGGUGAUCGGCCACACUGGAACUGAGACACGGACCAGACUCCUACGGGAGGCAGCAGUAGGGAAUCUUCCGCAAUGGGCGGAAGCCUGACGGAGCAACGCCACGUGAGUGAUGAAGGUCUUCGGAUCGUAAAACUCUGUUAUUAGGGAAGAACAAAUGUGUAAGUAACUAUGCACGUCUUGACGGUACCGAGUCAGAAAGCCACGGCUAACUACGUG
RNAcentral lists this ribosomal RNA (497 nucleotides) under uncultured bacterium. Its description in RNAcentral is "partial 16S ribosomal RNA". It matches the Rfam family "Bacterial small subunit ribosomal RNA", at positions 28 to 507 of the family's 1533-position model. The record is from RNAcentral.